Molecule: ribosomal RNA, 253 nt
Filed under: uncultured bacterium
Lineage: Bacteria
Description: partial 16S ribosomal RNA
Rfam family: Bacterial small subunit ribosomal RNA
Source: RNAcentral
GACAGAGGUGGCGAGCGUUGUUCGGAAUUACUGGGCUUAAAGGGCGAGUAGGCGGUGGGACAAGUCUGAUGUGGAAUCCUAAGGCUUAACCAUAGAACUGCAUUAGAAACUGUUUUACUUGAGUCAGUGAGGGGAGGGCGGAAUUCCUGGUGUAGCGGUGAAAUGCGUAGAUAUCAGGAGGAAGGCCGGUGGCGAAGGCGGCCCUCUGGCACUGUACUGACGCUGAGGCGCGAAAGCGUGGGGAGCAAACAGG